Molecule: non-coding RNA, 108 nt
Filed under: Escherichia coli
Lineage: Bacteria; Pseudomonadati; Pseudomonadota; Gammaproteobacteria; Enterobacterales; Enterobacteriaceae
Description: antisense sRNA RprA
Rfam family: RprA RNA
About the family: Translational regulation of the stationary phase sigma factor RpoS is mediated by the formation of a double-stranded RNA stem-loop structure in the upstream region of the rpoS messenger RNA, occluding the translation initiation site. Clones carrying rprA (RpoS regulator RNA A) increased the translation of RpoS.
Source: RNAcentral
ACGGUUAUAAAUCAACAUAUUGAUUUAUAAGCAUGGAAAUCCCCUGAGUGAAACAACGAAUUGCUGUGUGUAGUCUUUGCCCAUCUCCCACGAUAGGCUUUUUUUUAA